This 468-nucleotide ribosomal RNA is filed under the name uncultured bacterium. RNAcentral's name for it is "partial 16S ribosomal RNA". It matches the Rfam family "Bacterial small subunit ribosomal RNA", at positions 28 to 507 of the family's 1533-position model. The record is from RNAcentral.
GACGAACGCUGGCGGCGUGCUUAACACAUGCAAGUCGAACGGAAAGGCCCUGCUUUUGUGGGGUGCUCGAGUGGCGAACGGGUGAGUAACACGUGAGUAACCUGCCCUUGACUUUGGGAUAACUUCAGGAAACUGGGGCUAAUACCGGAUAGGAGCUCCUGCUGCUUGGUGGGGGUUGGAAAGUUUCGGCGGUUGGGGUUGGAAUCGCGGCUUAUCAGCUUGUUGGUUGGGUAGUGGCUUACCAAGGCUUUGACGGGUAGCCGGCCUGGGAGGGUGACCUGCCACAUUGGAACUGAGCUACGGCACAGACUCCUACGGGAGGCAGCAGAGGGGAAUAUUGUACAAUGGGCGGGAGCCUGAUGCAGCAACGCCGCGUGCGGGAUGACGGCCUUCGGGUUGUAAACCGCUUUCGCCUGUGACGAAGCGUGAGUGACGGUAAUGGGUAAAGAAGCACCGGCUAACUACGUG